Long non-coding RNA from Lineus longissimus, 144 nucleotides. RefSeq lists it as uncharacterized. The transcript is spliced from 2 exons. Lineage: Eukaryota; Metazoa; Nemertea; Pilidiophora; Heteronemertea; Lineidae. The record is from RefSeq and is a predicted model, not a curated record.
CCUCAAUUCAUUUGUCGUGAUAUAUCGCUUACCAUCGGGACGAAAUGGAUUCUACCAGUAACAAUAAUGAUACAGGCUGCACCAGCAAGUAGGCCUGAGGCAACUUCUCAACCUGUGAACAAUAGGAAGUCAGUCAAAGCUAAG